UCCUGUCUGAAUAUGGGGGGACCAUCCUCCAAGGCUAAAUACUCCUGACUGACCGAUAGUGAACCAGUACCGUGAGGGAAAGGCGAAAAGAACCCCGGCGAGGGGAGUGAAAAAGAACCUGAAACCGUGUACGUACAAGCAGUGGGAGCACAGGUUUACCUGUGUGACUGCGUACCUUUUGUAUAAUGGGUCAGCGACUUAUAUUCUGUAGCAAGGUUAACCGMAUAGGGGAGCCGSAGGGAAACCGAGUCUUAAYYGGGCGUUAAGUUGCAGGGUAUAGACCCGAAACCCGGUGAUCUAGCCAUGGGCAGGUUGAAGGUUGGGUAACACUAACUGGAGGACCGAACCGACUAAUGUUGAAAAAUUAGCGGAUGACCUGUGGCUGGGGGUGAAAGGCCAAUCAAAC
Molecule: ribosomal RNA, 406 nt
Filed under: Salmonella enterica
Lineage: Bacteria; Pseudomonadati; Pseudomonadota; Gammaproteobacteria; Enterobacterales; Enterobacteriaceae
Description: partial 23S ribosomal RNA
Source: RNAcentral